CUUAGUACGGCGAGUGAGCGGCAAAAGCUCAAAUUUGAAAUCUGGUACCUUCGGUGCCCGAGUUGUAAUUUGGAGAGGGCAACUUUGGGGCCGUUCCUUGUCUAUGUUCCUUGGAACAGGACGUCAUAGAGGGUGAGAAUCCCGUGUGGCGAGGAGUGCGGUUCUUUGUAAAGUGCCUUCGAAGAGUCGAGUUGUUUGGGAAUGCAGCUCUAAUGGGGGGGUAAAUUCCAUCUAAAGCUAAAUAUUGGCGAGAGACCGAUAGCGAACAAGUACAGUGAUGGAAAGAUGAAAAGAACUUUGAAAAGAGAGUGAAAAAGUACGUGAAAUUGUUGAAAGGGAAGGGCAUUUGAUCAGACAUGGUGUUUUGUGCCCUCUGCUCCUUGUGGGUAGGGGAAUCUCGCAUUUCACUGGGCCAGCAUCAGUUUUGGUGGCAGGAUAAAUCCAUAGGAAUGUAGCUUGCCUCGGUAAGUAUUAUAGCCUGUGGGAAUACUGCCAGCUGGGACUGAGGACUGCGACGUAAGUCAAGGAUGCUGGCAUAAUGGUUAUAUGCCGCCCGUCU
RNAcentral lists this ribosomal RNA (559 nucleotides) under Saccharomyces cerevisiae (brewer's yeast). RNAcentral's name for it is "eukaryotic LSU rRNA". It matches the Rfam family "Eukaryotic large subunit ribosomal RNA", at positions 79 to 654 of the family's 3401-position model. The record is from RNAcentral. Lineage: Eukaryota; Fungi; Ascomycota; Saccharomycetes; Saccharomycetales; Saccharomycetaceae.